This is a long non-coding RNA of Papaver somniferum (opium poppy), 2754 nucleotides long. RefSeq lists it as uncharacterized. The transcript is spliced from 6 exons. The record is from RefSeq and is a predicted model, not a curated record. Lineage: Eukaryota; Viridiplantae; Streptophyta; Magnoliopsida; Ranunculales; Papaveraceae.
ACACUUGUGCAGUUUUGUUAGAACAACUUUACUCUCUCUCCAUUUCUUCGAACGGUAGUUGUUUUUUUUUCUGUUUCUCACAGUAAAUCUUUCACAAAGAUUUUUGAUGGAGCUCCCAGACGACAUCACAUAAGACAUCUUAACUAGUUUUGCCCUCCGAAUCAGUUUAGAAUCCCAAAUUGGAGAGAUCAUCAUCCAUCCAUCCAUCCAUCCUUCUCUCAAAACCAUCUCUAUUCUUCAGCAAAUGAUUCAGUUUAGAGAUCAAAGACUUGUUCUGAAGAUCUUAGUCGGCACCAAUACACGUACGUAUAAAGGAAGGAAAAUCACUUUGCAGUAUGUACAGUAAGAAUUCCAUGAGGCAUUUCCUAAUAAAAGGCGGAAAAUACCAAUGGGAGGUGAAUAUAUGUACAGAUCUAUUGGUUGAGGAUGUUAAGAAGUGAAACUCGGUUCUUGAUCAGACACCUAAAGACAGAUUCUACUCCAUCUUCAAGUUCUUGAAGGUUCAUUUCAAGGGCAGCCAAUGACUUCUGCACUUCUUUUGCUUCAAUGACUUUGGAUUUCAAUGCGACAUCGACCUUGGUUACUUCAUUGACAACUUGUUGGGUUGCGCUUUGGGUGGUCAACUUUGAGACUAGUGACCUUUGCUUUGGUGCAGAUAGGAAAGACAAGAUAGAUUCAAAAACUGCAAGAGUAGUUGCUUCAACUUCUGUUAGGACAUCAGUAACGAGGUCAUUAUUUUUGUUGGUGUUUUUCUUAAGAUCUGAAAGGCAUUUUUGGAUGACUUUGCAGACUUUCUUUCUUGAGGUCAUGUAUGCGUCAAACUCAUUUGAUUUCCUUCGGAUAGAUGAUUGAAGAUCUUGAGCAGAUUGCUUCAUUUGAGAUGAAACAUCCUUAAUAGUUCCACAGACAUCCAACAACAUGACAGAUCUGUCCAAGACUGCGUCUAGGCAUUUUCCAUCUUCAAUAGAGAGGAAAUCCUCAACACAUUCAUACAAGUCCUUAAGAGCAACCAAGUUGUUGGAGAUGGAUGAGGUGAGAAGGGGAGAUCUCAAUUUACAUAAUAGUUCCUCAACUGCAGCAGCGAGUGGGUUUGAUCUGGUGGGCAAACUGAUUGAACGAGCAUGAAAAGUUUUGUUUGAGGAAGACAUUUUUGCCUUAUUUUGAAGAGGAAGAAGUCAGGACUCGGGCUACAAUGUGCAGCAAUGGGACGUAAUCAUGUGGUGGAUGUGGUGGAACUUCCUCUAUACGCGCCAUUAUCUCUGCAUUGUUUCCUCCAUCAAUGACAAAUACGAUUUGUACUUUAAGAUUGGUUACCAGCAACCAGUGCCUACAACAAGAUAGGAAAGGGAAUGCAAAAGGCUUGGGAUUAUUGUAGAAGCAUCUUAUAUAUGCAGGCAGGAUGUAAUCAAGAUGGUUGCAUGUUGCAUUACCUUUGCCUUGGAGGCAAUGCACUUCUAAUUGGACAAAUUUGGAAGAAAUGUGUAGAAGAUUUAGUGUGGCCAACUCCUAUGGGCGCUGCUUAUUUGGAUGCACUCCACAUAAAAAAUCAGUAUGUACAGUAAAAAUUCCAUUAGGCAUUUCCUAAUAAAAGGCGGAAAAUACCAACAGGAGGUGAAAUAUCUAUGGGUCUAUUGGUUUAGGAUGUUAAGAAGUGAAACUCGGUUCUUGAUCAGACACCUAAAGACAGAUUCUAGUCCAUCUUCAAGUUCUUGAAGGUUCAUUUCAAGAGUAGCCAAUGACUUCUGCACUUCUUUUGCUUCAAUGACUUUGGAUUUCAAAGCGGCAUCAAUCUUGGUUACUUCAUUGACAACUUGUUGGAUUGCACUUUUGUUGGUCAACUUUGAGACUAGGGACCUUUGCUUUGGUGCAGAUAGGAAAGACAGGAUAGAUUCAAAAACUGCAAGAGUGGUUGCUUCAACUUCUGUUAUGACAUCGGUAACGAGGUCAUUGUUCUUGUUGGUGUUUUUCUUAAUAUCUGAAAGGUAUUUUUGGAUGACUUUGCAGACUUUCUUUCUUGAGGUCAUGUAUGCGUCAAACUCAAUUGAUUGCCUUCGGAUAGAUGAUUGAAGAUCUUGGGCAGAUUGCUUCAUUGAGAUGAAACAUCCUUAAUAGUUCCACAGACAUCCAACAACAUGACAGAUCUGUCCAAGACACUGCGUCUUGGCAUUUUCCAUCUUCGGUAGAGAGGAAAUCCUCAACACAUUCAUACAAGUCCUUUAGAGCAACCAAGUUGUUGGAGAUGGAUGAGGUGAGAAGUGAAGAUCUCAAUUUGCAGAGUUGUUCCUCAACUGCAGCAGCGAGUGGGUUGGAUCUGGUGGGAAAACUGAUUGAACGAGCAUGGAAAGUUUUGUUUGAAGAAACAUUUUGGCCUUAUUUUAAAGAGGAAGAAGGUAGUAGCUAAUGAAGAAAAUGAUUUUUUUGAUGAUGGCUAUUGGUUCUCCUUUUAUAGUCAGGACUCAGGCUGCAAUGUACAACAAGGAGAUGUAUUCAUGCGGUGGAACUUCCUCUAUAUGCGCCACUGUCUCUGCAUUGUUCCCUCUAUCAAUGACAAAUGGUGUGUCCCCCUACCAGACUGUAUAGUAUCGAUCAACAUUGGGGAAAAAAAGACUAUAAAAAAAAAAGCCUGUAGAUAAUUAAUCAGAUGUGUAAUGUAUGUAGUGCAUGAAUGGAUCAUUACUACCUAUAAACAGACGGUGUAAGGUUAUAUUUGAACUUGACAACAGUAUGCGCGCGCUUGAUCAUCUCUUGGGAACA